RNAcentral lists this long non-coding RNA (271 nucleotides) under Gossypium barbadense (sea-island cotton). RNAcentral's name for it is "long non-coding RNA (GBAR_LNC014102)". The record is from RNAcentral. Lineage: Eukaryota; Viridiplantae; Streptophyta; Magnoliopsida; Malvales; Malvaceae.
UUAGAGGUUAAUUUAAGAACCUAAUAAAAACUUAUACCUAAAUGAUUUUUUUUAAAUAGAAGAAAUUUAUUUGAAAAAUUUAUAUUUGUCUUAACACUUAUAGGUGUCUAAUAUCCAUUUAAAAGCUAUAAUGAAACCCUAACCUUUAUAAAUAACCUAUCAUAUUUGUUUAUUUUUCAUAAAAAAAAAACCAAAACUUCCACCUCUAUAUUCUAUAUAUUCUAGACUAUCUUACAUACACAAAAGUUCUGCAAUUUAAAAAAAAAAAAAG